ACUCCUACGGGAGGCAGCAGUGGGGAAUUUUGGACAAUGGGCGAAAGCCUGAUCCAGCAAUGCCGCGUGAGUGAAGAAGGCCUUCGGGUUGUAAAGCUCUUUUGUCAGGGAAGAAACGGUGAGAGCUAAUAUCUUUUGCUAAUGACGGUACCUGAAGAAUAAGCACCGGCUAACUACGUGCCAGCAGCCGCGGUAAUACGUAGGGUGCAAGCGUUAAUCGGAAUUACUGGGCGUAAAGCGUGCGCAGGCGGUUUUGUAAGUCUGAUGUGAAAUCCCCGGGCUCAACCUGGGAAUUGCAUUGGAGACUGCAAGGCUAGAAUCUGGCAGAGGGGGGUAGAAUUCCACGUGUAGCAGUGAAAUGCGUAGAUAUGUGGAGGAACACCGAUGGCGAAGGCAGCCCCCUGGGUCAAGAUUGACGCUCAUGCACGAAAGCGUGGGGAGCAAACAGGAUUAGAUACCCCUGUAGUCCCAUG
RNAcentral lists this ribosomal RNA (473 nucleotides) under uncultured organism. RNAcentral's name for it is "partial 16S ribosomal RNA". It matches the Rfam family "Bacterial small subunit ribosomal RNA", at positions 335 to 799 of the family's 1533-position model. The record is from RNAcentral.